GGCUGAUAAAAGGGCAGCGAAAGAGCGAUCUGAAGCGAAACUCACAAAACCUGUCCCAGUUCGGAUUGUACUCUGCAACUCGAGUACAUGAAGUUGGAGUUGCUAGUAAUCGCGAAUCAAAAUGUCGCGGUGAAUGCGUUCCCGGGUCUUGUACACACCGCCCGUCACACCAUGGGAGUUGGCAAUACCCGAAGCCUGUGAUCUAACCACUUGGACGCAGCCGUCCAAGGUAGGGUUAAUAACUGGGGUGAAAUCGUAACAAGGUAACCGUAUCCGAA
Molecule: ribosomal RNA, 278 nt
Filed under: uncultured Anaerococcus sp.
Lineage: Bacteria; Bacillati; Bacillota; Tissierellia; Tissierellales; Peptoniphilaceae
Description: partial 16S ribosomal RNA
Rfam family: Bacterial small subunit ribosomal RNA
Source: RNAcentral